This 301-nucleotide ribosomal RNA is filed under the name uncultured bacterium. RNAcentral describes it as "partial 16S ribosomal RNA". It matches the Rfam family "Bacterial small subunit ribosomal RNA", at positions 509 to 807 of the family's 1533-position model. The record is from RNAcentral.
CAGCCGCCGCGGUAAAACGAAGGGUGCAAGCGUUAAUCGGAAUUACUGGGCGUAAAGCGUGCGUAGGCGGUGAGUUGAGUCUGCUGUGAAAUCCCCGGGCUCAACCUGGGAAUGGCAGUGGAUACUGGCUCGCUAGAGUGUGUCAGAGGAUGGUGGAAUUCCCGGUGUAGCGGUGAAAUGCGUAGAGAUCGGGAGGAACAUCAGUGGCGAAGGCGGCCAUCUGGGACAACACUGACGCUGAGGCACGAAAGCGUGGGGAGCAAACGGGAUUAGAUACCCGCGUAGUCCCUGUCUCUUAUAC